This 5277-nucleotide long non-coding RNA is filed under the name Orbicella faveolata. Its description in RNAcentral is "uncharacterized LOC110065099". Lineage: Eukaryota; Metazoa; Cnidaria; Anthozoa; Scleractinia; Merulinidae. The record is from RNAcentral.
ACUGAUACUCCUGGGUUCAAACCAUUUACUACAGAAAGACCUGUACCACACAGAAUGCUGAUUUAAUGGAAAGACUUCUUUUGUAUUUUGAAAUGAUUCGUCUAUCAGCUGUCGAAAGUAGCUCUUCAUCCAGGGCCAAGACUGAUGUGCUCGAAGGGCCAAUAACAGCUCCCUCUCAACCUGUUCAACCAUCAUAGAGUUCUGUUAAAGUGCCUGUCUGACAACAAACUCAAAAAAAAACAUAUAUGUGGAGUCUACAUUGUAUGAUGGAUGCUAUGUGUGCAUGAAGUCAUCUUUGCAAGCAUUGUGUAAGUACUUUACCACAAAUCCUUUGUGUGAAUUUUGUGGCAAAGAUUACAAAUGGAGUUCAGCUACUUUUUCAAGUCAAGGCCACGUUUGGAAGAUUGAAGUUCCCUGUGUGUGUGCAACGACCCAAUUACUUGGCUCAGUUCUGGAGUUCUGGGACACCCUGCAAAGUACUAUGCCAAUGUUAGGUGAGUACAAUAUGUACAUGACCUAUUUUGUAAGUAAGCAUAUUUGAUUAAAUAUAUUCCAAGAAAGUAUUUUGUAAAUAUUCUAAGCUUACAAGUAUAUUCUCUUCUAUCAUUUUUAUGGCUUUGCAUUUUUUACCACAUGUCAUUGCAGACUAACUAAUGUAAACCAUUCUGUCCUCCCAUGUUUUAUCUCUUGUAAUAAAUCUGUAUGCUCAGGUGAGUGAUACAUUUGAAAAAACCCUUUGCAGAAUGGUUUAUGCUUUCACAUGUACUCGACUUACUGAAUCUCAUUAUCAUGGUUCUGCUGAAGCUGCUGGCGUUGGUUGUGUGAUGGACAAAACAAUAGACACAAGUAUGUGACUUGUAACUUAUACAUUGUAGUGUGUUAUCUUUACUUUUUCUAUGGUGUGAUGUUUCCUGUAAUUUCACAGCAGUGGUGUAGUCUGUAGUAAAACUAGCAUAUACCCCUAUCUUCAGUCAGUGUAUCAUUUGAAUCUAGCCUUUACCAUUUGGCUUACCGGGCUGUAUCAUUUUGUUUGGCGGGAUGUAAAGACCAGGGAUUUGGAUAUAUGUCUGUAGUUCAGGAACUCUGCAACAAGACCAUGGCUGAUGCAAGGACAGAGGUUCAAGCUACACAAGACUAUAUUACAAGCGGGGAUGUAAGUUGACAUACAACCGGCUAGUCGUUAGCUGUGUAUGUUCACUGUUGUUGAGAUUAUUUGCACUGGGCAAAAUUGAAAAUAACACUUUGCACAAUGCUAAGUCAUUUUGUACCUUCAUUUGUUACCUUCAAUUUCUUCAAUGCUUUUCUUUUCCUCUAUUCAUUUUUAAUUCCAAUGCAUCUUUCAGUGUAUAACAGAUGCCAGACAUGCCUCAACUAGAUCAGCCAUGCAUUCUCCAGUGACAGCUAUUUCUAUGAGGUAUGUCGAACGCUAAGACCCAUGAAAUUGAUAACUCUUGUCGCACUUUUCUCAAAGGCUGUUUCCAUUUUUAUCAUCUUAUCAGUCAUCUAUGUGAUUUUUGCCUCUCAGCAACAAAAAAUUAUUUCUGUCUGCAAUUGGAGCUGUGCAGAUGAAAGAAGUGCUCCUAGUUGAGAUGUACCAAUGACAAAACAGCUGCUAACACACCUUACAGAAACUGAAAGUGCCUAAUUGUGUUGUAGUUUUUGUGUGUUUUAAAGACAUCAGUGCUUUUAUUGUUGCCUAUUGACUAUAUUCACUAAAUAGAGAUAUCCUGCUUUGGCACCUACAGGUUCUAGUAACUGUCACUCUGUUUCUCCAUUUUCACUGUUAUGUUUUGGGAUUCCUGUCUUGGUAGCCAAGGACUAGUGUAUCGUAAAAAUGCACCCUUGCUCAUAGGAUACAACAUAAGAGGUGGCCCAUGACUGUCUCAGAUUAUUGAAAAAUUGGUUUGAGCAAAGAGGCAUCAACAAUUCAUUUGACACCUGGCAUGGUAAGAAUGUGUAAUAGUUAAUAUGUCAGUGACUGUGUGAUGCUCUUCAGUUUGCCUGAGCAGCACUCAAAAUAUGUUCAUCAGCCUUUCCACUUUAAAAACUCUUUCCUGAUACAAGUACUAAAGGAGUGGCACACAACAUGAAAAAAGUGUGCAGUGGUGCUCAAAGUGAUGAGGGGAAGACAUGGUUUCCUGAAUUAUCUGAUAAAGGACAGGGAUGUGUUAGUUUGAAAUUUCUGGGGGUUUUUUUGUUUUGUUUUUUUUUGUUGGGUUUUUUAAUUUACAGUUGAAAUUUUUAUUGUGAUGUUGUUUAAACAGCCAAAGCCACCAAAACACAUUUCUACUGGGCAAUGAGGAACAAUGAUGGGACUGAUGCUGGGUUCCUGAAGUACCUACUCAACAUUGUGGACCAUUACCAGGUUUGUAGAUGUGCUUCCUAAUGUAAACCAAUGUAUGAUACAACAAACCAAUAAGAUAUUUUGUAUGAACCUUACUGAUUUGUAUAUAUCACUGGCCAUGUUUAAAGGGCAUGGUAGCCCAGAGUUUUUUUUGACAUAUCAGAAAUUGGGAUUUUUAGUAGUAGUAGAGUUACUUAGUAGUUUGAUGCUGCUCCACAGUGUCUCACUUUGCCCAGGGGUUCUUAUAUAUGUAAUGUGUUAUUAGGAAUCAAUCCACACGAAUGCUGGGUGUAAAUUACUACUUUGUAGCAUUAUAGCAGGAUAGAUGUUGAGGAAAUUUAACUUUGGCUUAAAAUGUUACCUUAGGGCAAGCAUGACCUGUGCAAUAAAGAUUCAAGAUGUCAACACCCAGGCUAUGUGUGCAGCAAAAAGCCCUUGACCUUCCUAGAUGAAAGCUAUAACAAAGACCACCAUCUACAAGAACCCUUCUGAUUAUCUUCUGUGCCGUGACACCUUUUACAUUGAGACCUUUCAUGUGGUGGUCCUUAUAUAUGCCCCAAAGAGAAUUAAUCUUGGUGACAAUUCAUAUGUGAUGAGGAUCCAUCUGGCCAUUUUGGAUUGAGUGAGUUGCUAUCAAUAUUUGUUAGACAAAAUUUUUAUUUCUUUUAAGAAAACAUUUUAUGUAGGCUCUAUGCUCUUUGGGUUUACCCAAUGAUCGAUGGGUCGGCAUAUCGUACUAUGGAUUAGAUGGACUAUACUGCAUAAUUAGAACAUGUCAUUUCCAUUAUAGAAUGAAAAUGUUGACCAAGAAGUUUCCUCGAUUCAAUUCUACUGACAUUACUGGCAUCCAGACAGGAUGGCCCCUACUAGAGUGCUGAGACCAAAGACAUUCAUGAUCAGACAGGCCGUAUGGAAUGAGGUGUUCAAGAGGAAUAAAUUAGAUGUGAACCCAUUGCCAGUUUGAUUUUUUUCCUAUAGUGAAGAUAAUAGUAGAGGUGUAGGAAAUCCAAAGGCUGUUUCUGGAAUAAAUUAAGCUUGGGUAUCCAACCCCUUGGGAGUGCCAGACUUCAGUCUAUUCCUUACCUCGGCUCAAGGAAUAGCGUACCUACACAUUAAUAUACAUGUAAGAAAAAAAUUAAACAAAAGAAGAAAGAAACAAUGCAACACUUGAAUUCAAAAUGAAUGUUAACUGGCUGCCUGGCUCUGCUAGCCCCUAGGGUUAUUCCAGGCAGCUAGUACCCUAAUUUUUACUGUUAAUAUUUUGAUUAAAAUUGUAAUUUUUUCUUUAGCAAGAAUGACUACAAAUAAAGAUUGAUUAUAUCAGAAAAAUCAUGUAGCACUAAAUACUCCCUUUGGUGGGUAUUACAUCCUUGUUGCAGGCAGUGUUUGCUGACUACGGGAUGAAGAUGAAAUGGGGAAUUUGUGUAGGUAACCAAGAUUGCUGUGUGCUGCUCUUGUAAUCAUUUAUUUAAUCUGUAACCUGUAUGUUAUCUAAUAAUCUGAAAACAUCAAAAAUAAACAAGACUUUUGGUGUUUGUUGAUCAAAAAACUGAAUUAUGUUUGUUAAAUCUGUCAUGUCAUGCACUGAGUGCAGUUGGGGAAGCUAAUGUACAUGUAGACCACAAAGCAACUGCUGGGCAGUGGACGACCAGUUCCCUUGCCAAAGCACAAAAAAUUUACAAGAUGUUGUGGUGGUUGUUGCUUUCCUCAUUGCUAAAAUUGUUAUUGUUGUAAUCUAUCAAUAUUCAAUUGACACUAUUUUAUAUUUUUGGUCAACAGAAAUAAUCAGCUCUAUUCUGGAAACAAGCACACAACCAGAAGGAAAGUUUACACUGGAUAUUUUUUAUUUUAUUUAAUGUUCAAUGAAAACUUAGUAUCAAGAUUGAAGUUGUAACGAGUAAUGCAAACUCCAAAAAAGCCAGAAACCAACAAUAAAUAAAACAGAAAUCUGAAAAUAUAAAAACUAUAUAAAAAAUAGUCACAGAGAUAUCAGUUGUGAGGUACAACUGUAGUAAUCGGAAAUGCAUGUCUCUUUUUAACAUUCUGCAGUUAAAUAUGUAUCUAUUGUAUUCAGCACAAUACUUAAAUUUACAUGAAUAUAAUGAUGAAAAUACUGAUAAUAAUAAUAAUAAUAAUAAUAAUAAACUCAGUGAGCGUGAAAAAAAAAAAGAAUUUGGCUUGCAACGCAAGCAGGGCAGGACCGAGUCCUGUAGACUUUGCUUUUCAAGCAUCAAUCCGCCUUUGGUGAUUAGCCCAUUACAAAUCAGUCAAGGUCAUUACACCUGUCAAAAUUGAUGUUUUUCUCGUCAAGAGAGUGUGGUUUUGACUGCUGAAGUAGAAAAGUUGUGACAUACAAAGGAUGAAAUUAGUGACAAUGCAGGUUCAUCCCCUGACAACUCAGAUGUUGAGUUAGGGCCUCUUCAUAUGAGCCCGGUCAGCCAGGCUGGUUCGGUUUCCAAGAUCUCACCUCGCCACUCUUUCCUUUGUAAAAAUUUCGAUGUGUUCAUAUAAGAAGCCAGGCUGGCCCGGUUAUCGAGAUCUUGGGUUUUGCGACCAAGAUCUCCGUAACUGGGAUAAAAAUUUUCCCAUAUAAACACUCCAGCCCGGGUAACCGAGACAAAACAUUUUACACAAAAUAGCUUUGCUUUCGCAACAUAGCGGCCAAAAUGGCAUGAUUUUUGCCCUGCAUGUAUUUCCACUUUAGGAGUAGGUGAAUUAGAUUUAUUAGUAAAGUUACAAGAGUCCACAAAGCUGCGACAGCCACGAACAAUACACGUUUAUGUUCCACCAUUUGGGUUGUGUUUCUUUCAUUUUAUCCCAGUAGACCGGGCUGAAAAUCCCCAUAUGAACAGACAACAAAAUUUGUCCCGGUAACUGAGCCAGCCCAGUUACCCGGCUCAUAUGAAGAGGCCCUUAAAAUCAGAAAAACAUAA